This 495-nucleotide ribosomal RNA is filed under the name uncultured bacterium. RNAcentral's name for it is "partial 16S ribosomal RNA". It matches the Rfam family "Bacterial small subunit ribosomal RNA", at positions 28 to 507 of the family's 1533-position model. The record is from RNAcentral.
GAUGAACGCUGGCGGCGUGCCUAAUACAUGCAAGUAGAACGCUGACGGAGGAGCUUGCUUCUCUGCAUGCGUGGCGAACGGGUGAGUAACGCGUAGGUAACCUGCCUGGUAGCGGGGGGUAACUAUUGGAAACGCUACAUAAUACCGCAUAAGAGUAGCUGUUGCAUGCCAUUUCCUUAACAGUUGCAAUUGCCUCUCUACCAGAUGGACCUGCGUUGUGUUAGCUAGUUGGUGGGGUAACGGCUCACCAAGGCGAGGGUACAUGGCCGACCUGAAGGGGGGGACGACCAAACUUGGAAUUAGACCAGGCCCAGACUCCUACGGGAGGCAGCAGGAGGGGAUCUUCGGAAAUGGAGGGAAAUCUGACCGCACAAAGCCGCGGGAGUGAAGAAAGGUUUCGGAUCGGAAAGCUCUUUUGUAAGGGAAGAAAGAGGGUGAGAGUAAAAAGUGCACCCUAUGACGGUAUCUGAACAGAAAGAGACGGCUAACUACGUG